CCUACGGGAGGCUGCAGUAGGGAAUAUUGCUCAAUGGGGGAAACCCUGACGCAGCAACGCCGCGUGGAGGAUGAAGGUUUUAGGAUUGUAAACUCCUUUUGUGAGAGAAGAUAAUGACGGUAUCACACGAAUAAGCACCGGCUAAUUCCGUGCCAGCAGCCGCGGUAAUACGGAGGGGGCAAGCGUUACUCGGAAUCACUGGGCGGAAAGAGUGCGCAGGCGGGCUUGUAAGUCAGAUGUGAAAUCCUGUAGCUUAACUACAGAACUGCAUUUGAAACUAUGAGUCUGGAGUGUGGGAGAGGUAGGUGGAAUUCUUGGUGUAGGGGUAAAAUCCGUAGAUAUCAAGAGGAAUACUCAUUGCGAAGGCGACCUACUGGAACAUUACUGACGCUCAUGCACGAAAGCGUGGGGAGCAAACAGGAUUAGAUACCCGGGUAGUC
RNAcentral lists this ribosomal RNA (440 nucleotides) under uncultured bacterium. RNAcentral's name for it is "partial 16S ribosomal RNA". It matches the Rfam family "Bacterial small subunit ribosomal RNA", at positions 338 to 795 of the family's 1533-position model. The record is from RNAcentral.